AGACAGCAGCCGCCACGGUAAUACAGAGGGUGCGAGCGUUAAUCGGAUUUACUGGGCGUAAAGCGUGCGUAGGCGGCUUCUUAAGUCGGAUGUGAAAUCCCUGAGCUUAACUUAGGAAUUGCAUUCGAUACUGGGAAGCUAGAGUAUGGGAGAGGAUGGUAGAAUUCCAGGUGUAGCGGUGAAAUGCGUAGAGAUCUGGAGGAAUACCGAUGGCGAAGGCAGCCAUCUGGCCUAAUACUGACGCUGAGGUACGAAAGCAUGGGGAGCAAACAGGAUUAGAUACCCGAGUAGUCCCUGUCUCUUAUAC
This 307-nucleotide ribosomal RNA is filed under the name uncultured bacterium. RNAcentral describes it as "partial 16S ribosomal RNA". It matches the Rfam family "Bacterial small subunit ribosomal RNA", at positions 506 to 807 of the family's 1533-position model. The record is from RNAcentral.